RNAcentral lists this ribosomal RNA (406 nucleotides) under uncultured bacterium. Its description in RNAcentral is "partial 16S ribosomal RNA". It matches the Rfam family "Bacterial small subunit ribosomal RNA", at positions 30 to 526 of the family's 1533-position model. The record is from RNAcentral.
AUUGAACGCUGGCGGCAGGCCUAACACAUGCAAGUCGAACGAGUGGCAGACGGGUGUGUAAUGUCUGGGAAACUGCCUGAUGGAGGGGGAUAACUACUGGAAACGGUAGCUAAUACCGCAUACCAUCAGAUGUGCCCAGAUGGGAUUAGCUAGUUGGUGUGGUAACGGCUCACCAAGGCGACGAUCCCUAGCUGGUCUGAGAGGGGGACCAGCCACACGGGAACGGAGACACGGCCCAGAUGCCUACGUGAGGCAGCAGUGGGUAAUAUGGCACAAUGGGCGCAAGCCUGAUGCAGCCAUGCCGCGUGUAUGAAGAAGGCCUGCGGGUUGUAAAGUACUUUCAGCGGGGAGGCGUUACCCGCAGAAGAAGCCCCGGCUAACUCCGUGCCAGCAGCCGCGGUAAUAC